GACGAACGCUGGCGGCGUGCUUAACACAUGCAAGUCGAACGGAAAGGCUCUGCUUUUGUGGGGUGCUCGAGUGGCGAACGGGUGAGUAACACGUGAGUAACCUGCCCUUGACUUUGGGAUAACUUCAGGAAACUGGGGCUAAUACCGGAUAGGAGCUCCUGCUGCAUGGUGGGGGUUGGAAAGUUUCGGCGGUUGGGGAUGGACUCGCGGCUUAUCAGCUUGUUGGUGGGGUAGUGGCUUACCAAGGCUUUGACGGGUAGCCGGCCUGAGAGGGUGACCGGCCACAUUGGGACUGAGAUACGGCCCAGACUCCUACGGGAGGCAGCAGUGGGGAAUAUUGCACAAUGGGCGGAAGCCUGAUGCAGCAACGCCGCGUGCGGGAUGACGGCCUUCGGGUUGUAAACCGCUUUCGCCUGUGACGAAGCGUGAGUGACGGUAAUGGAUAAAGAAGCACCGGCUAACUACGUG
This 468-nucleotide ribosomal RNA is filed under the name uncultured bacterium. RNAcentral's name for it is "partial 16S ribosomal RNA". It matches the Rfam family "Bacterial small subunit ribosomal RNA", at positions 28 to 507 of the family's 1533-position model. The record is from RNAcentral.